GAGCUCUUUGAAAGUAUCCAUAAGUGAGGGGGAAAAAAAAAAACUUUAAGGGCCAAGCACACUUGAAACAAGGUGUUAACUUGUGUUAUCAAUUGCACUGAGUUAUCUAGUUUACAUGUACUUAGUACUUAGCAGGGUGAUAUUGAGUUCACACCUAUUCAGUAUAGUGGAAUGAUGUAAUUAUGAUAGAGUAUAUAAGGGCUGAGAUAGAAGGAGAAGAGAGACUGGAAGAUAGAGACCCUCGUGGUUGCUGUCCUCUAUCCUUCACUUCUGCACUGAGACCAAGGCCCAUCUGAAGCUCCCUCAGAAAGCUAACCAGGCCUCUGGAGAAGGAGACUGACUGAAGGAGAUAAUUGGAUUUGGACUUAAUUCCCGAUUAUUCUCGGGAAUAUUCUGCUGAAACCAAAGCCCAUUUGGAGAACCCUCAGCAAGCUAGCCAGAACAUUACAUUUUGGUCGGAGGCUCUACCUUGUAUAUCGGGUUCCUCUCCUCAUAAAUUUGUUGCUACAUCCGGAGGAGCGAAGAAGAGGUCGCUUACGUUUCCUGCGCUGACCUGCUUCAGGUACUGCAGCCGCCGCUGCCGCUAUUGGCAUCAUGUCGAUCCCGUGGCUCUUCACCAAGAAGCUCCCCAUUCAUUGCAUGGCUGGGGCCGUCCCGGUUUGCAAUGAGAAGGGGGAGAUUUCAAUGGAGAAAGUGAAGGUGAAACGUUAUAUAUCGGGGAGGAGACCAGACUACGCCCCUAGGGAGUCCUCAGAUGAGGAGGAUGAGGAAUUUCAAUUCCUUAAGAAAGCCAAGGAGCAAGAAGCAGAGCCCGAGGAACAGGAAGAGGAUUUACCCGGCGAUCCCCGGCUUCGGCGUCUACAAAACCGCAUCAAGGAAGAUGCGGAAGAAAGGUUGGCCCGCCAUCGGGAAAUAAUAGAGCCUGAAGUGAUAGGAAAAAGUGAUUCUGAAGAAGCAGGAGAUGCAAGACAAAUGGAGCGAGAGGACAGUGGGGAGGAAGAGGAGGAAGAAAUUGAGGAGGAAAUUGAGGAGGAAAUUGAGUGGCGGCGGGCCAUGAUGCGAAAGCGAGCACAAGAAAGGAAAAAUGAAGAAGUGGAAGUCAUGGAAGUGGAAGAUGAAGAGCAUUCUGGGGAGGAAUCCGAAUCUGAAUCCGAGUCGGAGUAUGAAGAAUAUAUGGACAGUGAGGAUGAAGUGGAAGUCCGUCUCAAGCCAGUCUUCAUUCGGAAGAAGGACCGGAUAACAGUUCAAGAGCGUGAGGCGGAAGCACGGAAGCAGAAGGAGUUGGAGCAGGAGGCAGAACGUCUGGCUGAGGAGAGGCGCAAAUAUACUCUCAAGAUCGUGGAAGAGGAGACAAAGAAAGAACUAAGCGAAAACAAACGUUCCGUGGCUGCCCUAGAUGCGCUCAAUUCAGAUGACGAGAACGAUGAGGAGGAAUAUGAGGCAUGGAAAGUUCGGGAGUUAAAAAGAAUCAAACGGGACAGAGAGGAACGGGAAGCGAGGGCGAAGGAGAAAGCAGACACUGAACGUAUACGAAAUCUGCCGGAAGAGGAAAGACGAGCUGAAUUCCGAGCAAAUGACAGAGUUAUUACCAACAAAGCUGUCAAGGGCAAAUACAAGUUCUUGCAGAAGUACUAUCACCGGGGUGCUUUCUUUAUGGAUAAAGAUGAAGAAAUAUACAAGAGAGAUUUUAGUGUUCCCACCCUGGAGGAUCAUUUCAAUAAGACUAUUCUUCCCAAAAUUAUGCAGGUUAAGAACUUUGGACGGUCAGGCAGAACCAAAUAUACCCAUCUUGUGGACCAAGAUACCACUUCCUUUGAUUCAGCUUGGGGUCGAGAGAAUGCCCAAAAUACCAGGUUCUUCACAGAAAAAGCAGCUGGGGUACGAAAUGUAUUUGAAAGGCCAUCUGCCAGGAAGAAGAAGAAAACUACUUAGAAUUCAGUCACUUACUUCCCCAACUCUAGACAAAUGGGGAAGUUUGUUUUUGUUGGCGUUUCCCCCCCCCCAAGAUUGUUCAAGGCAAAACCUCUUUUCUGGCACUUUUUGAGCCUAGCAUCCUUUUUAUGAUUCCAAAGGGACCCUAAAAUGAAGGACUGGAAAGAGGACAUUCUAUCUUUGACCAGCCUGGUCUACUAAAACCAAGGCUAGUCUGGAGACCGCCAGAAAGCUAACCCAGACUUUACAAAAAACAAACAAACCAGAAAAAAACCCUGCAAUUUCUUUUUGGAGUUUGGGCUGGGGGAAGAGCUGAAAGCACAAAUUGAAUUGUAGGAACAAGAGUCAAAUGUCUGUGGUAAAUGGGCAGAAAUUCAUGGAAUAUGUGACAGAACAGUGGGAGAUAAGACCAUUUAGAAAAAGAGAAAGCAAAGCAGGAGAGUGAACAUGUUUUAUGGGAAUGUACAUAGACUUCCUAGGAAGAAGCUAGGCCUGGGAUCCAAAAGAAGGGGCAAAGUUCUCAAGCCAUUCUGGAAAAUAUUUUUCUGGGAACAAAAAUCUGAGUAGCAGCCAAUGGGAACAUAGCAGAAUCCUUGACUUUGAGAUUCUUGGCCAUUACUCCUUCAGAGAAACUUCUAGAUUUGUUUAUUUCAUUACCAUUAUCUCACAUUGUAUUAUGGCAUGAUAAUUAAGUACAAAAAAUGUAUUUUCAGAGAUCUAUUAAAAUAUUAAUAAAAAUGCUAUAAAAACUAAUUGUUUUUAUGUUUUUAAAGUAUGUGUUUUUAAAAGCUUCUUCUAGGUCCAAAUCUGACUUUAUGGUCCUUAGUACAAAUGAUGCAUAUACUGUCAGAUGCAGUUGUUUGAGUUUUGCUUAACUGUCUAAAGCACUUUGUAGUUGGAGACAGAAGGCAGGUUCAAAUUAUAACUAUUCUACUCACAUCUGGGUAAGAUUUCUAGAGUUAGUUUCUACACCUGAAAAAAUGAGUUCAUUAGGGUAGGUGACUUUUUAAGCAUUUUCUUUGGAGAAAGACAAGGAAAAUAACUGAUUCUUAAUCCAAAGAGCAUCAAAAUGUAUUUGUUAAAAAAAAA
Molecule: RNA transcript, 3021 nt
Organism: Sarcophilus harrisii (Tasmanian devil)
Lineage: Eukaryota; Metazoa; Chordata; Mammalia; Dasyuromorphia; Dasyuridae
Gene name: microfibrillar-associated protein 1 pseudogene
Exons: 1
Source: RefSeq, a predicted model, not a curated record